UUUUCAAUAACCUUCUU
This 17-nucleotide small RNA is filed under the name Arabidopsis thaliana (thale cress). RNAcentral describes it as "ATSL185840". Lineage: Eukaryota; Viridiplantae; Streptophyta; Magnoliopsida; Brassicales; Brassicaceae. The record is from RNAcentral.